ACGUAGGGUGCGAGCGUUAAUCGGAAUUACUGGGCGUAAAGUGUGCGCAGGCGGCCGAGCAAGUCGAGUGUGAAAGCCCCGAGCUUAACUGGGAGGGUGCGCCGGAAACUGGAGUGCUCGAGCGCGGGAGAGGAAAGCGGAAUUCCUGGUGUAGCGGUGAAAUGCGUAGAUAUCAGGAGGAACACCUGUGGUGUAGACGGCUUUCUGGACCGUAGCUGACGCUGAGACACGAAAGCGUGGGUAGCAAACAGGA
RNAcentral lists this ribosomal RNA (253 nucleotides) under uncultured prokaryote. Its description in RNAcentral is "partial 16S ribosomal RNA". It matches the Rfam family "Bacterial small subunit ribosomal RNA", at positions 525 to 777 of the family's 1533-position model. The record is from RNAcentral.